GCACAGGAAUAUCAACAGAUAACAUGUGGCACACGAAUAGUUUACAAUAGUGAUAGAAUAGUGUAGUGAUAAUCGAAUAGAAUAGUGAUAUUCGUCAAAGAGUGGGUCAGAGUGACAUUAGUAUUAUUACAAUUCGUUUAUUUAUAACCCAUUGUGAAUGAUAACACAAUGUUAUCAUACAUGACAGGCACGGAAAUACAAAGUUUAAUCGUAAACUUAUUUAAAAGGAUUCUUUAACCACAUCACAAAGUUGUGACUGUCUAUCUAUCUGUCUAUAUAAUCUAUUUUUGGCACGGAAUGAAAAAAAUUAUUUCUAUUUUUCCAUUUUUAUAAUAUGCAUAUAAACUUCAAAGAUAACCUGGUACCACUAGAUCGUGUGGUCUAACAAUACAACGUAAUCAGAAUAAGUGGUGAAAAUUAGAUAGGCAAUUGAGCAUAGGAGCAUGCUUUCUGACAAAGCCCGUAGGAUUGUCAACCUGAAGUGGCAAUGGGCAGCCCAGAUAAAAAGAUCGUACUGCCGGUUGGACAGAUAUAUUAUAGAGUGGAGACCACGUACUGGCAAGUGCAGUGUGGGACGGCCACCUACCAGAUGGACUCACAAGCUAAUGAAAAUUUCUGGGUCACGUUGGAUGCAGGUGGUAACGGAUCAGUCGCAGCGGAGAUUGAUUGGAGUGGCCUAUGCUCAACAGAGGACAGCUAUAGGCGAGAUGUUAAUGUUGUUAAUGUUUGCAUUAGAUUGCUUGAAUGGGGCUUGUAACCACUUACAAUCAGGUAAUGUACGGGCUAACUAAUACUACUUGGGAUACGAUAUGGGGCCUAUCAGUAAAUAAAACCAGAAUAAUUCUAGCAAACAUCACAAUAUUUUACUUUUCAACAAAUUUUGGUUUAAAUCUUUAGAACUCAUUUUACAAAAUUGCAAAUAUUAUUGUGAUAAAAAGAUUGAAGUUAAUUAACAUGUUUUGUACUCAUGUUUGUGUUAUUAUGUGCGUAAAUAACAUUUCUUAGUUAUUUUCCAUAAACUAUUAAAAUGGAUACCCAUAUUUUGAACAAAGAUCAGAGAGAUUUAACAGAAAAACUUAAUCAUAAAAUAUCACAAACAAUUCGUUCAUGUAAUCAUAAAGUUAAGCCAAUAAACCAAUGUUUAGAAAAAAUUACACAAACAAAGACUCACCAAUUACCAACUCUUUGGUCCAAAUGCAAAUAAACUUAUUAACUUGUCAUAAAAUGCAUAAUUCGAUGGGUAUAAAUUGAAAUGCAGUUAAUGGCACGUUACUAAUAAUUAUACAUCUCGUUGUGAGAUUGUUUCAAUUAAUUUUAUGUUAUCAAACAAUUGUAUUGUUAUCAAAUUAGCACAGUAAGGUGAUUAAAUCGCUGCAAGUUUAUUUUCUAUGUUUUAGUUUGGUUCGAGACGCGUUUCCUACACAACGUGAUCUCAAACAUAUUUGUUGGUAUCUUUGUCUCGAGCACGAAUCACAACAGUUGUCAAGCUGUUCUUAUGCUAUAAAAGUGGCUGAAAUCUGAACUUUUAUAUGGAACAGAAUAUUUCACACCUUUGACACUUGACAGUACCUUUCCGUUUCACGAAAACCAUGAAUUCAAGAAAAUCACUUCAAAUAAAUAGUUUUUCAAACAUAUUUUAUGAUCUACGCUCAAAAAAUACUUACUGUAUAAUUUCAUAGAGCAGGUGCACAAUAAAACAUUUAAUCAAAUACUUUCACUUCAUUGUACAAAACAUAAUUAAAAUUAGUCAAAUGAAUAACACAAAGGCGAUCUUAUCGCUAUCAGCCGUCUACCUGGUAACCGGUAAUCAAUUAAGAAAGCGGUGACGCACAAGUUCAGUAUACGCUGCCGCCUAAAAUCAAUUUACGCAGGUGCACAGAGGACCUCUUGUGAGUCUCUGGUAAGACCUCUGAUAGGUUAUCGAGGAUGAGCGUGAUGAUUUAAAGAGCGGUUCUCCUCACUAGACUUGGAUUGUGAUCAAAUUAAGGCCUUAGAUGGGACAAUGUUCACGGAAUGCACCAUUUGCGAUGUGACAGUCAGAGAUCCGGACGAUCAUAAGAACAGGUCUCUUACCGCCCCCCUUUUGGCCCGCAGCGCCCAAAAGGGGGCGUUAUCGCCCGCUUUGGGAAAGAUUAGUUUAGCAGAUUUCCAGUGCGACCGGUCCAUUGCCACCUGCAUCCAACGAGACCCAGCGCUUUUUAUUAGGUCGUCGGUCCAUCUAGUAGGUGGCCGUCCCACACUGCGCUUGCCAGUACGUGGUCGCCACUCCAGGAUCUUUCUGCCCCAUCGACCGUCCUCUCUUCGUGCUAUGUGGCCAUGGUAAGGUUACAUAAAAAAAUAUUUACUCAAGAAUAUGAAAACGAAGGAAAGAAAGAGACAAACAAAUAAGCGAACAAUUUUUAUUUUCACAAUUAUUAACAUUUGUAUUAAAUUAUUUGCAUUA
This is an RNA transcript of Bombyx mori (domestic silkworm), 2443 nucleotides long. RefSeq lists it as uncharacterized. Lineage: Eukaryota; Metazoa; Arthropoda; Insecta; Lepidoptera; Bombycidae. The record is from RefSeq and is a predicted model, not a curated record. The transcript is spliced from 5 exons.